Long non-coding RNA from Hydra vulgaris (swiftwater hydra), 498 nucleotides. RefSeq lists it as uncharacterized. The record is from RefSeq and is a predicted model, not a curated record. NCBI's taxonomy places the organism in Eukaryota, Metazoa, Cnidaria, Hydrozoa, Anthoathecata, Hydridae.
UUUACGUUAGGUAUAAACUUAAAAAACAAAAAUAAUAAUAUUUUUAAAUUUUUUAAAACUGUAUAAUUAAAUUACCAGUCUAUAAUUACUCAGUUGAAAAUGCUUAGCAGUAUGCCGCUGGUGGAAUAAUAUAUUAUUAUAAUAAAAAAUGUCAACUUUGUGAAUAUUGUGAAAGUAUAGACUAUUCUGGCAUGUUGAUACCAUGGCUGUUUCAACAUUUAUAUGAUUUAUAAAUUCAAAUCCUUCUGGCACACAUUUAGAGUUCAUUUUAUACAUCAAUUUAUUGACAUAUAUUGAUCAAUGCAUUUAAUAAGUACUCUUCUGGUACAAAAGCAGGCUUGUAAUUCCAUGUGGAAAAAUCGAAUUUCUUCCAAAAAUGCCAAAAUUUCAACCAAGUUGAUAUUUUUUAAAAGAACUUAAAAACCAUGUUAUUUUAUUUUGCUAUUUAUAUUGUGUAAAGAUAUUUUGAUCUUAUUUUUAAAAUAAAGUUUUAGUGUA